Molecule: non-coding RNA, 664 nt
Organism: Myodes glareolus (Bank vole)
Lineage: Eukaryota; Metazoa; Chordata; Mammalia; Rodentia; Cricetidae
Source: RefSeq, a predicted model, not a curated record
UGUCUCUGUCUCUCUCUCUCCCUCCCACAACACACACACACACACACACACACACACACACACACACAGGCACUACCUAAUGUCACCACCACCACUGACACCCAGGAAAGCAUGAGUCUUCCCAGCUCCCCACGCAGCCUGCUGAGCCAUUUUCUGAGUCUGUUCCCCCUUCCCACUCCCCACCCCCACUCUGCAACAUUUGCAAAAGAGAGAAUAAAGAAUGUGUGCUCAUUCAUAACGCCCUGCCACAAAUACUCUACAUGCAGCCUGUGCCAGUCCCUGGGGAUGCAGAGGUCUGGAAGACAGAGGAAUAUGGGCUGCCUUCGAGCUUCUUUCUCCUGGGGAGCACAGAACCUGGACUGGAAAUGGCUCUCCACUCCAUCCUCAGCCUCUCCAUGUCUCUACCCCAGCCCCUGGACUACUGUGGACCUGGGGUUUUGCAGAGCCUCAGCUCCCUCUGCCAUGAGGAAGUGAAAAUCAAGAGCACCUAGUCUCUAGGGCAGCCCUCAAAGCUCGAGUCAGUGGUGGGACUCAUCUGUGAAGAAUCUUACUGGGACACAUCUGGACACACUCCACAAAAGGUGGGAUGGUACUCAACCCUGCAUUCCAGUUCUCAGAACAUCCGCAAGCAUCACAACCAGCUGCAAUUUCUUGUGUCAAGGUU